GACGAACGCUGGCGGCGUGCUUAACACAUGCAAGUCGAACGGAAAGGCCCUGCUUUUGUGGGGUGCUCGAGUGGCGAACGGGUGAGUAACACGUGAGUAACCUGCCCUUGACUUUGGGAUAACUUCAGGAAACUGGGGCUAAUACCGGAUAGGAGCUCCUGCUGCAUGGUGGGGGUUGGAAAGUUUCGGCGGUUGGGGAUGGACUCGCGGCUUAUCAGCUUGUUGGUGGGGUAGUGGCUUACCAAGGCUUUGACGGGUAGCCGGCCUGAGUGGGUGACCGGCCACAUUGGGACUGAGAUACGGCCCAGACUCCUACGGGAGGCAGCAGUGGGGAAUAUUGCACAAUGGGCGGAAGCCUGAUGCAGCAACGCCGCGUGCGGGAUGACGGCCUUCGGGUUGUAAACCGCUUUCGCCUGUGACGAAGCGUGAGUGACGGUAAUGGGUAAAGAAGCACCGGCUAACUACGUGCCAGCAGCCGCGGUGAUACGUAGGGUGCGAGCGUUGUCCGGAUUUAUUGGGCGUAAAGGGCUCGUAGGUGGUUGAUCGCGUCGGAAGUGUAAUCUUGGGGCUUAACCCUGAGCGUGCUUUCGAUACGGGUUGACUUGAGGAAGGUAGGGGAGAAUGGAAUUCCUGGUGGAGCGGUGGAAUGCGCAGAUAUCAGGAGGAACACCAGUGGCGAAGGCGGUUCUCUGGGCCUUUCCUGACGCUGAGGAGCGAAAGCGUGGGGAGCGAACAGGCUUAGAUACCCUGGUAGUCCACGCUGUAAACGGUGGGUACUAGGUGUGGGGUCCAUUCCACGGGUUCCGUGCCGUAGCUAACGCUUUAAGUACCCCGCCUGGGGAGUACGGCCGCAAGGCUAAAACUCAAAGGAAUUGACGGGGCCCCGCACAAGCGGCGGAGCAUGCGGAUUAAUUCGAUGCAACGCGUAGAACCUUACCUGGGUUUGACAUGGAUCGGGAGUGCUCAGAGAUGGGUGUGCCUCUUUUGGGGUCGGUUCACAGGUGGUGCAUGGCUGUCGUCAGCUCGUGUCGUGAGAUGUUGGGUUAAGUCCCGCAACGAGCGCAACCCUUGUUCACUGUUGCCAGCACGUUAUGGUGGGGACUCAGUGGAGACCGCCGGGGUCAACUCGGAGGAAGGUGGGGAUGACGUCAAGUCAUCAUGCCCCUUAUGUCCAGGGCUUCACGCAUGCUACAAUGGCUGGUACAGAGAGUGGCGAGCCUGUGAGGGUGAGCGAAUCUCGGAAAGCCGGUCUCAGUUCGGAUUGGGGUCUGCAACUCGACCUCAUGAAGUCGGAGUCGCUAGUAAUCGCAGAUCAGCAACGCUGCGGUGAAUACGUUCCCGGG
This 1343-nucleotide ribosomal RNA is filed under the name uncultured bacterium. RNAcentral describes it as "16S ribosomal RNA". It matches the Rfam family "Bacterial small subunit ribosomal RNA", at positions 28 to 1378 of the family's 1533-position model. The record is from RNAcentral.